RNAcentral lists this ribosomal RNA (428 nucleotides) under uncultured bacterium. RNAcentral's name for it is "partial 16S ribosomal RNA". It matches the Rfam family "Bacterial small subunit ribosomal RNA", at positions 354 to 796 of the family's 1533-position model. The record is from RNAcentral.
GUGGGGAAUAUUGGGCAAUGGGGGCAACCCUGACCCAGCAACGCCGCGUGAGGGAAGAAGGUUUUCGGAUUGUAAACCUCUGUCCUAUGGGAAGAAGGAAGUGACGGUACCAUAGGAGGAAGCCCCGGCUAACUACGUGCCAGCAGCCGCGGUAAUACGUAGGGGGCGAGCGUUGUCCGGAAUUACUGGGCGUAAAGGGUGCGCAGGUGGACUGACAAGUCAGAUGUGAAAUACCGAUGCUUAACGUCGGGGCUGCAUUUGAAACUAUGAGGCUGGAGUGCAGGAGAGGGAAGCGGAAUUCCUAGUGUAGCGGUGAAAUGCAUAGAUAGUAGGAGGAACACCAGUGGCGAAGGCGGCUUUCUGGACUGUAACUGACACUGAGGCACGAAAGCGUGGGGAGCAAACAGGAUUAGAUACCCCAGUAGUCC